CCUCGAAGUCUCUGGAAGGAUGUCCAAGAAAAGCUCCUAGGGUUGAAAACUGGUAACCGUACUAAAACUGACACAGGUAGGCGAGACGAGUAGUCUAAGGCGCUCGGGAAAAUGGUGGUUAAGGAACUCUGCAAAUUCACCCCGUAAGUUCGCGAUAAGGGGUACCCUUGAGGGCGCAAGCCUUCGAGGGUCACAGAAAAUCGGCUCUAGCAACUGUUUAUCAAAAACACAGGACUCUGCUAACUCGCAAGAGGAUGUAUAGAGUCUGACGCCUGCCCGGUGUUGGUAGGUUAAGGAAGAAGGUUAGCCUCACGGCGAAGCUUGCGACCGAAGCCCCAAUAAACGGCGGCCGUAACUAUGACGGUCCUAAGGUAGCGAAGUUCCUUGUCGGGUAAGUUCCGACCUGCAUGAAUGGCGUAAUGACUGGAGCACUGUCUCAACCACCAACCCGGUGAAAUUGUAGUCGUGGUGAAGAUGCCACGUUCCCGCGGUUAGACGGAAAGACCCCAUGAACCUUGACUGUAGGCUGAUUUUGGGCUGAGAUUUGUUUUGUGUAGGAUAGGUGGGAGGCUUUGAACCGGUGGCGCCAGCCAUUGGGGAGCCGACGUUGAAAUACCACCCUGAACAUGUUUUAGUUCUAACCUCGAUCCAGUGAACCUGGCGAGGGACAGUGUCAGUUGGGCAGUUUGACUGGGGCGGUCUCCUCCAAAAAGGUAACGGAGGAGUACAAAGGCACCCUCAGCCUGGUCGGCAAUCAGGCACUGAGCGCAAUGGUAGAAGGGUGCUCAACUGCGAGACCUAUAAGUCGAGCAGAUGUGAAAGCAGGUCAUAGUGAUCCGGUGAUUCCGUAUGGAAGGGUCAUCGCUCAUCAGAUAAAAGGUACUCUGGGGAUAACAGGCUGAUCGCUACCGAGCGUCCACAGCGGCGUAGCGGUUUGGCACCUCGAUGACGGCUCAUCACAUCCUGGGGGUGAAGAAGCUCCCAAGGGUUUGGCUGUUCGCCAAUGAAAGUGGUACGUGAGCUGGGUUCAGACCGUCGUGAGACAGGUCGGUCCCUAUCUGCCGUGGGCGUACGAAACUUGAGGAGCCUCUUCUUUAGUACGAGAGGAUUUAGAAGGACUCAGCUCUGGUGUACCAGUUGUCACGCUAGUGGCACGGCUGGAUAGCUAUCUGGGGAAAGGAUAAACGCUGAAAGCAUCUAAGCGUGAAGCCCGCUCCAAGAAUAGGUUUCGUAUGGUAG
This 1239-nucleotide ribosomal RNA is filed under the name metagenome. Its description in RNAcentral is "bacterial LSU rRNA". It matches the Rfam family "Bacterial large subunit ribosomal RNA", at positions 1583 to 2822 of the family's 2925-position model. The record is from RNAcentral.